UACAGAGGUCCCAAGCGUUGUUCGGAUUUACUGGGCGUAAAGGGAGCGUAGGUGGCAUUCCAAGUCUGAUGUGAAAGCUCUGAGCUUAACUCAGAAAUGGCAUUAGAUACUGGUUUGCUUGAGGAUUGGAGGGGAGAUUGGAAUUCUUGGUGUAGCAGUGAAAUGCGUAGAUAUCAAGAGGAACACCAGUGGCGAAGGCGAAUCUCUGGACAAUUCCUGACACUGAUGCUCGAAAGCUAGGGGAGCAAACGGG
This 253-nucleotide ribosomal RNA is filed under the name uncultured bacterium. Its description in RNAcentral is "partial 16S ribosomal RNA". It matches the Rfam family "Bacterial small subunit ribosomal RNA", at positions 524 to 776 of the family's 1533-position model. The record is from RNAcentral.